ACGAACGCUGGCGGCGUGCUUAACACAUGCAAGUCGGGCGGUAAGGCCCUUUCGGGGGUACACGAGCGGCGAACGGGUGAGUAACACGUGGGUGACCUGCCCUCAGCUCUGGGAUAAGCCUGGGAAACCGGGUCUAAUACUGGAUAUGACUCCAUGACGCAUGUUGUGGGGUGGAAAGCCUUGUGCGGCUGAGGAUGGGCCCGCGGCCUAUCAGCUUGUUGGUGGGGUGAUGGCCACCAAGGCGACGACGGUAGCCGGCCUGAGAGGGCGACCGGCCACACUGGGACUGAGACACGGCCCAGGCUCCUACGGGAGGCAGCAGUGGGGAAUCUUGCGCAAUGGGCGAAAGCCUGACGCAGCGACGCCGCGUGAGGGAUGACGGCCU
RNAcentral lists this ribosomal RNA (385 nucleotides) under uncultured bacterium. RNAcentral describes it as "bacterial SSU rRNA". It matches the Rfam family "Bacterial small subunit ribosomal RNA", at positions 29 to 417 of the family's 1533-position model. The record is from RNAcentral.